Molecule: transfer RNA, 54 nt
Filed under: Strongyloides sp. EN-2020c
Lineage: Eukaryota; Metazoa; Nematoda; Chromadorea; Rhabditida; Strongyloididae
Description: tRNA-Asn
Source: RNAcentral
UGAGGAUUAUUUUAAUUAGAAUAUUUAGCUGUUAACUAAAAGGUUUAUCUUCAU